This 187-nucleotide ribosomal RNA is filed under the name uncultured bacterium. Its description in RNAcentral is "partial 16S ribosomal RNA". It matches the Rfam family "Bacterial small subunit ribosomal RNA", at positions 1315 to 1500 of the family's 1533-position model. The record is from RNAcentral.
ACUACAUGAAGCUGGAAUCGCUAGUAAUCGCGAAUCAGAAUGUCGCGGUGAAUACGUUCCCGGGUCUUGUACACACCGCCCGUCACACCAUGGGAGGUUGGAAAUGCCCGAAGUCAGUGACCCAACCGCAAGGAGGGAGCUGCCGAAGGCAGGUCCGGUAACUGGGGUGAAGUCGUAACAAGGUAAC